Molecule: long non-coding RNA, 444 nt
Organism: Pezoporus flaviventris
Lineage: Eukaryota; Metazoa; Chordata; Aves; Psittaciformes; Psittacidae
Exons: 2
Source: RefSeq, a predicted model, not a curated record
CUGAGAGAGAUCAGAGAUACAUUUACAAGUACCCUGCAGUUUUUAGUUGCACCAUUUUUUUUUCCCAAACGCAAGCUUUAUAUUCUUUUUAAGAUAGGAAAAUUGACAUGAUAGAAAUAUUAAUAUCUAAAACAUUUGUACCAGGGUGUAAUCCGAAUCAUCUCUGUACAGAAACCCAUUAAGCAUUUACCUCCAAACCCAAUUUAUUUUGUCCAGUAGUUCAGUCAGUAGUAAGCAUGAGAUAAAGUGCUACUAUUUAAACACCAAAACACUUGGAAAAAAUUUACCCUUUAAAAUGUGUAAGGUUGCUAAAUACGAAAUAACACAACCAACAAACUGUCAGCCAGCCUGUGAAACCAUAGCUCAUGCUACAGCAGACUGCAAUGAUAGAUAUUUCAGUGGUGGUUUGGUUUUAUUGUUUGUUUGUUUUAAAAUGAGGCUACA